AGAGAAUUGAAGAACUGAAGACACAAAUAACGGAAGUACAAGAGAAAAGCGAAUCAGCACCAAUGGACUUCGAUUGCAUGUCAAACUUCUAUGGCAAGCUACCAAAGGAACGGCAAGCGUUUCUGAAAGCCCACCGUCCUUGGCUGUACAACCAGUACAUGCACAGCAAACGAUUCAUCAGAAGUGAAGUGCGCAAACACUUCCCCAUCGCCACCACAUUUGCGUCGGCG
Long non-coding RNA from Corticium candelabrum, 230 nucleotides. RefSeq lists it as uncharacterized. The transcript is spliced from 3 exons. NCBI's taxonomy places the organism in Eukaryota, Metazoa, Porifera, Homoscleromorpha, Homosclerophorida, Plakinidae. The record is from RefSeq and is a predicted model, not a curated record.